UNUGACUUGAGUGCAGAAGGGGAGAGUGGAAUUCCAUGUGUAGCGGUGAAAUGCGUAGAUAUAUGGAGGANCACCAGUGGCGAAAGCGGCUCUCUGGUCUGUCACUGACGCUGAGGCUCGAAAGCGUGGGUAGCGAACAGGAUUAGAUACCCUGGUAGUCCACGCCGUAAACGAUGAGUGCUAGGUGUUAGGCCCUUUCCGGGGCUUAGUGCCGGAGCUAACGCAAUAAGCACUCCGCCUGGGGAGUACGACCGCAAGGUUGAAACUCAAAGGAAUUGACGGGGGCCCGCACAAGCGGUGGAGCAUGUGGUUUAAUUCGAAGCAACGCGAAGAACCUUACCAGGUCUUGACAUCCCGAUGCUAUUCUUAGAGAUAGGAAGUUACUUCGGUACAUCGGAGACAGGUGGUGCAUGGUUGUCGUCAGCUCGUGUCGUGAGAUGUUGGGUUAAGUCCCGCAACGAGCGCAACCCUUAUUGUUAGUUGCCAUCAUUAAGUUGGGCACUCUAGCGAGACUGCCGGUAAUAAACCGGAGGAAGGUGGGGAUGACGUCAAAUCAUCAUGCCCCUUAUGACCUGGGCUACACACGUGCUACAAUGGUCGGUACAACGAGUUGCGAGCCGGUGACGGCAAGCUAAUCUCUGAAAGCCGAUCUCAGUUCGGAUUGGAGGCUGCAACUCGCCUCCAUGAAGUCGGAAUCGCUAGUAAUCGCGGAUCAGCACGCCGCGGUGAAUACGUUCCCGGGCCUUGUACACACCGCCCGUCACACCACGAGAGUUUGUAACACCCGAAGUCGGUGAGGUANCCUUUUAGGG
RNAcentral lists this ribosomal RNA (812 nucleotides) under uncultured bacterium. RNAcentral's name for it is "bacterial SSU rRNA". It matches the Rfam family "Bacterial small subunit ribosomal RNA", at positions 636 to 1447 of the family's 1533-position model. The record is from RNAcentral.